RNAcentral lists this ribosomal RNA (492 nucleotides) under uncultured bacterium. RNAcentral describes it as "partial 16S ribosomal RNA". It matches the Rfam family "Bacterial small subunit ribosomal RNA", at positions 29 to 507 of the family's 1533-position model. The record is from RNAcentral.
AGCGAACGCUGGCGGCAGGCCUAACACAUGCAAGUCGAACGGCAGCACAGUAAGAGCUUGCUCUUGCGGGUGUCGAGCGGCGGAAGGGUGAGGAAUACACCGGAAUCUACUUUUUCGUGGGUGCUAACGUAGGGAAAGUUACGCUGAUAACGCAUAUGACCUACUGGUGAAGGCAGGGGAUCUUCGGACCUUGCGCGAUUGAAUGAGCCGAUGUCGGAUUAGCUAGUUGGCGGGGUAAAGGCGCACCAAGGCGACGAUCCGUAGCUGGUCUGAGAGGAUGGACAGGCACACUGGAACUGAGGAACGGCCCCGACUCCUGCGGGAGGCAGCGGUGGGGAAUAUUGGGCAAUGGGGGCAAGCGUGAUCCAGCCAUACCGCGUGGGUGAUGAAGGCGUUCGGGUGGUAAAGCCCUUUUGUUGGGAAAGAAAAGCAGCACUUUCAUCCCCCGCGGUACUGACGGUACCCAAAGAAUAAGCACCGGCUAACUUCGUG